GUGCCUACGGGGCGCAGCAGUGGGGGAUAUUGCACAAUGGGGGGAACCCUGAUGCAGCGACGCCGCGUGAGCGAAGAAGUACCUCGGUAUGUAAAGCUCUAUCAGCAGGGAAGAAAAUGACGGUACCUGACUAAGAAGCCCCGGCUAAAUACGUGCCAGCAGCCGCGGUAAUACGUAUGGGGCAAGCGUUAUCCGGAUUUACUGGGUGUAAAGGGUGCGUAGGUGGCAGGGCAAGUCAGAUGUGAAAGCCCGGGGCCCAACCCCGGUACUGCAUUUGAAACUGUCCGGCUGGAGUGCAGGAGAGG
This 305-nucleotide ribosomal RNA is filed under the name uncultured bacterium. RNAcentral describes it as "bacterial SSU rRNA". It matches the Rfam family "Bacterial small subunit ribosomal RNA", at positions 334 to 657 of the family's 1533-position model. The record is from RNAcentral.